This 253-nucleotide ribosomal RNA is filed under the name uncultured bacterium. Its description in RNAcentral is "partial 16S ribosomal RNA". It matches the Rfam family "Bacterial small subunit ribosomal RNA", at positions 524 to 776 of the family's 1533-position model. The record is from RNAcentral.
UACGUAGGGUGCGAGCGUUAAUCGGAUUUACUGGGCGUAAAGCGUGCGUAGGCGGUUCGCUGUGUCCGAUGUGAAAGCCCCGGGCUUAACCUGGGAAAGGCAUUGGAAACUGGCGGGCUUGAGUGCGGCAGAGGGGGGUGGAAUUCCGCGUGUAGCAGUGAAAUGCGUAGAGAUGCGGAGGAACACCGAUGGCGAAGGCAGCCCCCUGGGUCGACACUGACGCUCAGGCACGAAAGCGUGGGGAGCAAACAGG